Long non-coding RNA from Mizuhopecten yessoensis (Yesso scallop), 2616 nucleotides. RefSeq lists it as uncharacterized. The transcript has 4 exons. The record is from RefSeq and is a predicted model, not a curated record. Lineage: Eukaryota; Metazoa; Mollusca; Bivalvia; Pectinida; Pectinidae.
GUAAGUAAAACAAACAUCAAUAUGUAAAAAAGGUAAUCAUUUUACAAUGUCAAGUCACCACUAAUACAAUGUCAAGUCACCACUAAUACAAUGUCAAGUCAUCACUAAUACAAUGUCAAGUCCCCACCAAUACAGGGUAGUCUCCAAUAAAUCAAUGUCAAGUCACCACUAAUACAAGGUAGUCUCCACUAAUACAAGGUAGUCUCCACUAAUACAAGGUAGUCUCCACUAAUACAAUGCCAAAUCACCACUAAUACAAGGUAGUCUCACUAAUACAAGGUAGUCUCCACUAAAUCAAUGUCAAGUCACCACUUAUACAAGGUAGUCUCCACUAAAUCAAUGUCCAGUCUCCACUAAUACAAGGUAGUCUCCACUAAUACAAGGUAGUCCCCACUAAUACAAUGUCAAGUCUCCACUAAUACAAGGUAGUCACCACUAAUACAAGGUAGUCUCCACUAAAUCAAUGUCAAGACACCACUAAUACAAGGUAGUCUCCACUAAUACAAUGCCAAAUCACCACUAAUACAAGGUAGUCUCCACUAAUACAAGGUAGUCUCCACUUAUACAAGGUAGUUUCCACUUAUACAAGGUAGUCUCCACUUAUACAAGGUAGUCUCCACUAAUACAAUGUAGUCUCCACUAAUACAAGGUAGUCUCCACUAAUACAAGGUAGUCUCGACUAAAUCAAUGUCAAGUCUCUACUAAUACAAGGUAGUCUCCACAAAAUCAAUGUCAAGUCUCCACUAAUAAAAGGUAGUCUCCACUAAUACAAUGUCAAGUCACCACUAAUACAAGGUAGUCUCAACUAAAUCAAUGUCAAGUCACCACUAAAUCAAUGUCAAGUCACCAUUAAUACAAGGUAGUCUCCACUUAAUCAAUGUUAAGUCUCCGCUAAUACAAGGUAGUCUCCACUAAUACAAGGUAGUCUCCACAGACUACUUAUACAAGGAAGUCUCCACUAAUACAAGGUAGUCUCAACUAAAUCAAUGUCAAGUCUCCACUAAUACAAGGUAGUCUCCACUAAAUCAAUGUCAAGUCUCCACUAAUACAAGGUAGUCUCCACUAAAUCAAUGUCAAGUCACCACUAAUACAAGGUAGUCUCCACUUAUACAAUGUAAAGUAUCCACUAAUACAAGGUAGUCUCCACUCAAUCAAUGUCAAGUCUCCACUAAUACAAGGUAGUCUCCACUAAUACAAUGUCAAGUCACCACUAAUACAAGGUAGUCUCCACUAAUAGAAGGUAGUCUCCACUAAUACAAGGUAGUCUCCACUAAUACAAUGUCAAGUCACCACUAAUACAAGGUAGUCUCCACUAAUACAAGGUAGUCUCCACAAAAUCAAUGUCCAGUCUCCACUGAUACAAGGUAGUCUCCACUUAUACAAUGUAGUCUCCACUAAUACAAUGUCAAGUCACCACUAAUACAAGGUAGUCUCCACUAAAUCAAUGUCAAGUCACCACUAAAUCAAUGUCAAAUCACCACUAAAUCAAUGUCAAAUCACCACUAAUACAAGGUAGUCUCGCCUAAAUCAAUGUCAAGUCACCACUAAAUCAAUGUCAAGUCACCACUAAUACAAGGUUGUCUCCACUAAAUCAAUGUCCAGUCUCCACUAAUACAAGGUAGUCUCCACUAAUACAAGGUAGUAUCCACUAAAUCAAUGUCAAGUCACCACUAAUACAAGGUAGUCACCACUAAAUCAAUGUCAAGUCUCCACUUAUACAAGGUUGUCUCCACUAAAUCAAUGUCAAGUCUCAACUAAUACAAGGUAGUCUUCACUAAAUCAAUGACAAGUCUCCAAUAAAUCAAUGUCAAGUCUCCACUUAUAAAAGGUAGUCUCCACUUAAUCAAUGUCAAGUCUCCACUAAAUCAAUGUCAAGUCUCCACUAGUACAAGGUAGUCUCCACUAAUAAAAGGUAGUCUCCACUAAAUCAAUGUCAAGUCACCACUUAUACAAGGUAGUCUCCACUAAAUCAAUGUCAAGUCUCCACUAAUACAAGGUAGUCUCCACUAAUACAAUGCCAAAUCACCACUAAUACAAGGUAGUCUCCACUAAUACAAUGUCAAGUCACCACUUAUACAAUGUCAAGACACCACUUAUACAAUGUCAAGUCACCACUUAUACAAUGUCAAGUCACCACUAAUACAAUGUCAAGUCACCUAUUAUACAAUGUCAAGUCACCACUUAUACAAUGUCAAGUCACCACUUAUACAAUAUUAAAGACUCAUAGGCCAAAGCAUGGUGUCACAACCUAUUUACCAAUACUGAAUGGCCCGUCUCGUCCCAGUGGGGCCAUAUAUACUGUCUUAUUUUACAAUGUUGGGAUCCACUGACUCAAGGAUGCUCCAGACCAACUUAGGUUAAAAUCCCUUUGCCUGUACUUUGGCAAGGUGAACUUAGAAUUAUCUCAAAAAUAUUCAGUUUCAAUUAAGCAUUUUUGCAGGUUGUUUAUACAAUUACCGAAAUUAUCAAGUUUUAGACUUGUAACGUUGAAAAAUUAUUCUGCACAACAAAGAUGGCAGAAUGUGACCCAAACAUUGCUUUAAAACUGAAUUCAACAACUCAUCGUGUGAUUGUUUCGAAUUAUCAAAAUGUGUUUUUUUAGAAUAUAAUGAAACU